Non-coding RNA from Apodemus sylvaticus (European woodmouse), 671 nucleotides. The record is from the annotation of a RefSeq genome assembly. Lineage: Eukaryota; Metazoa; Chordata; Mammalia; Rodentia; Muridae.
AGCGUCACUGGGCUGCUGUGUGUGUGGUUUUGCCACCAAGAUGAAAGAGCUAAGAUUUUAUUGGUGGAGAGAGAGAGAGAGAGAGAGAGAGAGAGAGAGAGAGAGAGAGAGAGAGAGAGAGACUACUGACUUUUAGAAAUAAGCUCAACACUUCCUGGAGCUGGGGUGAAGGCAUAUCAGCAGUUUGACAGGUUCAAUGGAGAGGAGCAUGGUAACUCCACUGGGGCUGCUGUUGGUGUUGCUUUGCUGGGUGAGAGGAAUGCAAGUGGAACAGAGUCCUCCAGCCCUGAGUCUUCAUGAGGGAGCUGGUUCUGGUCUAAGAUGCAAUUUUUCUACCACCAUGAAAAGUGUCCAGUGGUUCCAACAAAAUCGCAGAGGCAGCUUCAUCCAUCUUUUUUACCUGGCUCCAGGAAUGAAGGAGAUUGGGAGGUUAAAGACAACAUUCAAUUCUAAGGAGCGAUACAGCACACUGCACAUCAGGGAUGCCCAGCUGGAGGACUCAGGCAUUUACUUCUGUGCUGCUGAGGCACAGUGCUCCCAGCAAGGCAAGGGCCUGGCCACAAACUGCAGCUGGGUGUGUAGCUAAGGCCCCACCACAGCGAGAGUCUGUAGCAACAAUUGCACAGCUGUGGGGUUCCAAGUUUAUGCCGCUUCUCUGUUACCUCUGUUAA